CGCGGCCUAUCAGCUUGUUGGUGGGGUGAUGGCCUACCAAGGCUUUGACGGGUAGCCGGCCUGAGAGGGUGACCGGCCACACUAGGACUGAGAUACGGCCCAGACUCCUACGGGAGGCAGCAGUGGGGAAUUUUGCGCAAUGGGCGGAAGCCUGACGCAGCGACGCCGCGUGGGGGAUGACGGCCUUCGGGUUGUAAACCUCUUUCUACUCUGACGAAGCUCCUGCUCGUGAGUGGGGGUGACGGUAGGGGUGGAAGAAGCGCCGGCUAACUACGUGCCAGCAGCCGCGGUGAGACGUAGGGCGCGAGCGUUGUCCGGAUUUAUUGGGCGUAAAGAGCUCGUAGGCGGCUUGUCGCGUCGGCCGUGUAAGUCUGCAGCUUAACUGUGGGUGUGCGGUCGAUACGGGCAGGCUAGAGUUCGGCAGGGGAGACUGGAAUUCCUGGUGUAGCGGUGGAAUGCGCAGAUAUCAGGAGGAACACCGGUGGCGAAGGCGGGUCUCUGGGCCGACACUGACGCUGAGGAGCGAAAGCGUGGGGAGCGAACAGGAUUAGAUACCCUGGUAGUCCACGCUGUAAACGUUGGGCGCUAGGUGUGGGGACCCUUCCCGGGUUUCCGUGCCGUAGCUAACGCAUUAAGCGCCCCGCCUGGGGAGUACGG
RNAcentral lists this ribosomal RNA (657 nucleotides) under uncultured Actinomycetes bacterium. RNAcentral describes it as "bacterial SSU rRNA". It matches the Rfam family "Bacterial small subunit ribosomal RNA", at positions 232 to 885 of the family's 1533-position model. The record is from RNAcentral. Lineage: Bacteria; Bacillati; Actinomycetota; Actinomycetes.